UAGGGAAUCUUCCGCAAUGGACGCAAGUCUGACGGAGCAACGCCGCGUGAGUGAAGAAGGAUUUCGGUUCGUAAAACUCUGUUGUUAGAGAAGAACAGCGCAUAGAGUAACUGUUAUGCGUGUGACGGUAUCUAACCAGAAAGCCACGGCUAACUACGUGCCAGCAGCCGCGGUAAUACGUAGGUGGCAAGCGUUGUCCGGAUUUAUUGGGCGUAAAGCGAGCGCAGGCGGUCAAUUAAGUCUGAUGUGAAAGCCCCCGGCUCAACCGGGGAGGGUCAUUGGAAACUGGUUGACUUGAGUGCAGAAGAGGAGAGGGGAAUUCCAUGUGUAGCGGUGAAAUGCGUAGAUAUAUGGAGGAACACCAGUGGCGAAGGCGACUCUCUGGUCUGUAACUGACGCUGAGGCUCGAAAGCGUGGGGAGCGAACAGG
Molecule: ribosomal RNA, 429 nt
Filed under: Bacteroidota bacterium
Lineage: Bacteria; Pseudomonadati; Bacteroidota
Description: Bacteroidetes bacterium partial 16S ribosomal RNA
Rfam family: Bacterial small subunit ribosomal RNA
Source: RNAcentral